Gopherus evgoodei (Goodes thornscrub tortoise) is the source of this 83-nucleotide non-coding RNA. The record is from the annotation of a RefSeq genome assembly. Lineage: Eukaryota; Metazoa; Chordata; Testudines; Testudinidae.
GUAGUUGUGGCUGAGUGGUUAGGGCAAUGGACUAGAAAUCUAUUGGGGGUUUCCCCAUGCAGUUUCGAAUCCUGUCAACUAUG